RNAcentral lists this long non-coding RNA (290 nucleotides) under Ictidomys tridecemlineatus (thirteen-lined ground squirrel). Its description in RNAcentral is "lncRNA (ENSSTOG00000030258.1)". Lineage: Eukaryota; Metazoa; Chordata; Mammalia; Rodentia; Sciuridae. The record is from RNAcentral.
UACAAAACAAGGCAAAGGAGAGUAUGGCUGUAGAGUUGCUAUUCAAGACCUCCAGAGACCAAGCGGGAAGCAGGUAUGAUUUUAUUGUGUAGUUACCAUGUAUAUAUACUCAGGCAGUAGCUAAGCAGAUUACAGGCAGCCACCAAUGCAAUUUCUGCUAACUGUCCUUGCAGCAAUCAAUCUAGGAGUGGGCCAUGGAGUAAGCAUGGGGACUGCAACACACGGCCUCAUGCCCAGAGCUGUGCCUGUGAGGUGAAGAAGUUGUGGAAGGAGAUGAGGACAGAGAUGGU